Molecule: ribosomal RNA, 507 nt
Filed under: uncultured bacterium
Lineage: Bacteria
Description: bacterial SSU rRNA
Rfam family: Bacterial small subunit ribosomal RNA
Source: RNAcentral
AUGGCUCAGGAUGAACGCUAGCUACAGGCUUAACACAUGCAAGUCGAGGGGCAGCAUGUGGUGCUGCAACCAAUGAUGGCGACCGGCGCACGGGUGAGUAACGCGUAUCCAACCUCCCCUUAGUAGAGGAUAGCCCGGCGAAAGUCGGAUUAAUACUCUAUGUUCUUCAAUGCGGACAUCUAAGUUGAAGCAAAGAUUUAUCGCUAAGGGAUGGGGAUGCGUCUGAUUAGGUUGCAGGCGGGGUAACGGCCCACCUGGCCUACGAUCAGUAGGGGUUCUGAGAGGAAGGUCCCCCACACUGGUACUGAGACACGGACCAGACUCCUACGGGAGGCAGCAGUGAGGAAUAUUGGUCAAUGGGCGCGAGCCUGAACCAGCCAAGUAGCGUGCAAGGACGACUGCCCUAUGGGUUGUAAACUGCUUUUAUCAGGGAAUAAAGUGAGGCACGCGUGCCUUUUUGUAUGUACCUGAUGAAUAAGGACCGGCUAAUUCCGUGCCAGCCGCGGC